AAUCCAUAGGUUAAUGAGGCGAACCGGGGGAACUGAAACAUCUAAGUACCCCGAGGAAAAGAAAUCAACCGAGAUUCCCCCAGUAGCGGCGAGCGAACGGGGAGGAGCCCAGAGCCUGAAUCAGCAUGUGUGUUAGUGGAAGCGUCUGGAAAGGCGCGCGAUACAGGGUGACAGCCCCGUACACAAAAGCGCAUGUGCUGUGAGCUCGAUGAGUAGGGCGGGACACGUGGUAUCCUGUCUGAAUAUGGGGGGACCAUCCUCCAAGGCUAAAUACUCCUGACUGACCGAUAGUGAACCAGUACCGUGAGGGAAAGGCGAAAAGAACCCCGGCGAGGGGAGUGAAAAAGAACCUGAAACCGUGUACGUACAAGCAGUGGGAGCACCCUUUGGGUGUGACUGCGUACCUUUUGUAUAAUGGGUCAGCGACUUAUAUUCUGUAGCAAGGUUAACCGAAUAGGGGAGCCGGAGGGAAACCGAGUCUUAACCGGGCGUUAAGUUGCAGGGUAUAGACCCGAAACCCGGUGAUCUAGCCAUGGGCAGGUUGAAGGUUGGGUAACACUAACUGGAGGACCGAACCGACUAAUGUUGAAAAAUUAGCGGAUGACCUGUGGCUGGGGGUGAAAGGCCAAUCAAACCGGGAGAUAGCUGGUUCUCCCCGAAAGCUAUUUAGGUAGCGCCUCGUGAAUUCAUCUCCGGGGGUAGAGCACUGUUUCGGCUAGGGGGCCAUCCCGGCUUACCAACCCGAUGCAAACUGCGAAUACCGGAGAAUGUUAUCACGGGAGACACACGGCGGGUGCUAACGUCCGUCGUGAAGAGGGAAACAACCCAGACCGCCAGCUAAGGUCCCAAAGUCAUGGUUAAGUGGGAAACGAUGUGGGAAGGCCCAGACAGCCAGGAUGUUGGCUUAGAAGCAGCCAUCAUUUAAAGAAAGCGUAAUAGCUCACUGGUCGAGUCGGCCUGCGCGGAAGAUGUAACGGGGCUAAACCAUGCACCGAAGCUGC
RNAcentral lists this ribosomal RNA (1001 nucleotides) under Salmonella enterica. RNAcentral's name for it is "partial 23S ribosomal RNA". It matches the Rfam family "Bacterial large subunit ribosomal RNA", at positions 161 to 1203 of the family's 2925-position model. The record is from RNAcentral. Lineage: Bacteria; Pseudomonadati; Pseudomonadota; Gammaproteobacteria; Enterobacterales; Enterobacteriaceae. RNAcentral also lists the same sequence under 2 other names.